RNAcentral lists this ribosomal RNA (250 nucleotides) under uncultured bacterium. RNAcentral describes it as "partial 16S ribosomal RNA". It matches the Rfam family "Bacterial small subunit ribosomal RNA", at positions 524 to 773 of the family's 1533-position model. The record is from RNAcentral.
GACAGAGGGUGCAAGCGUUGUUCGGAAUCACUGGGCGUAAAGCGCACGUAGGCGGCUAGGUAAGUCAUAUGUGAAAUCCCUGGGCUCAACCCAGGAACUGCAUCUGAUACUGCCUAGCUUGAGUUCCGGAGAGGUUGGUGGAAUUCCUGGUGUAGAGGUGAAAUUCGUAGAUAUCAGGAGGAACACCGGUGGCGAAGGCGACCAACUGGACGGAAACUGACGCUGAGGUGCGAAAGCGUGGGGAGCAAAC